This 353-nucleotide unclassified non-coding RNA is filed under the name soil metagenome. Its description in RNAcentral is "partial contains 5.8S ribosomal RNA, internal transcribed spacer 2, and large subunit ribosomal RNA". The stretch from base 1 to 120 matches the Rfam family "5.8S ribosomal RNA", at positions 35 to 154 of the family's 154-position model. The record is from RNAcentral.
GAUGAAGAACGUAGCGAAAUGCGAUAAGUAAUGUGAAUUGCAGAAUUCUGUGAAUCAUCGAAUCUUUGAACGCACAUUGCGCCCGCCAGUAUUCUGGCGGGCAUGCCUGUUCGAGCGUCAUUACAACCCUCAGGCCCCCGGGCCUGGCGUUGGGGAUCGGCGGAAGCCCCCUGCGGGCACAACGCCGUCCCCCAAAUACAGUGGCGGUCCCGCCGCAGCUUCCAUUGCGUAGUAGCUAACACCUCGCAACUGGAGAGCGGCGCGGCCACGCCGUAAAACACCCAACUUCUGAAUGUUGACCUCGAAUCAGGUAGGAAUACCCGCUGAACUUAAGCAUAUCAAUAAGCGGAGGA